AGUAGCGGCGAGCGAACGGGGAGGAGCCCAGAACCAUCAUCAGUUUGUGUGUCAGUGGAAGCGUCUGGAAAGUCGCGCAACAAAGGGUGAUAGUCCCGUACACGAAGAUGCACAUGCUGUGAGUUCGAUGAGUAGGGCGGGACACGAGAUAUCCUGUCUGAAGAUGGGGGGACCAUCCUCCAAGGCUAAAUACUCCUGACUGACCGAUAGUGAACCAGUACCGUGAGGGAAAGGCGAAAAGAACCCCGGCGAGGGGAGUGAAACAGAACCUGAAACCGUGUACGUACAAGCAGUGGGAGCCUUGAUUUAUCA
RNAcentral lists this ribosomal RNA (312 nucleotides) under Brenneria nigrifluens. RNAcentral describes it as "bacterial LSU rRNA". It matches the Rfam family "Bacterial large subunit ribosomal RNA", at positions 242 to 590 of the family's 2925-position model. The record is from RNAcentral. Lineage: Bacteria; Pseudomonadati; Pseudomonadota; Gammaproteobacteria; Enterobacterales; Pectobacteriaceae.